GCGGCUCUGGUGAAGUGGUUAACACGUCGGAUUGUGGCUCCGAUAUGCGUGGGUUCGAUUCCCACGAGUCGCCCCA
RNAcentral lists this transfer RNA (76 nucleotides) under Quinella sp. 1Q5. RNAcentral describes it as "tRNA-His". It matches the Rfam family "tRNA". From Rfam's summary of the family: Transfer RNA (tRNA) molecules are approximately 80 nucleotides in length. Their secondary structure includes four short double-helical elements and three loops (D, anti-codon, and T loops). Further hydrogen bonds mediate the characteristic L-shaped molecular structure. tRNAs have two regions of fundamental functional importance: the anti-codon, which is responsible for specific mRNA codon recognition, and the 3' end, to which the tRNAs corresponding amino acid is attached (by aminoacyl-tRNA synthetases). tRNAs cope with the degeneracy of the genetic code in two manners: having more than one tRNA (with a specific anti-codon) for a particular amino acid; and 'wobble' base-pairing, i.e. permitting non-standard base-pairing at the 3rd anti-codon position. RNAcentral also lists the same sequence under 3 other names. Lineage: Bacteria; Bacillati; Bacillota; Negativicutes; Veillonellales; Veillonellaceae. The record is from RNAcentral.